GACGAACGCUGGCGGCGUGCUUAACACAUGCAAGUCGAACGGAAAGGCCCUGCUUUUGUGGGGUGCUCGAGUGGCGAACGGGUGAGUAACACGUGAGUAACCUGCCCUUGACUUUGGGAUAACUUCAGGAAACUGGGGCUAAUACCGGAUAGGAGCUCCUGCUGCAUGGUGGUGGUUGGAAAGUUUCGGCGGUUGGGGAUGGACUCGCGGCUUAUCAGCUUGUUGGUGGGGUAGUGGCUUACCAAGGCUUUGACGGGUAGCCGGCCUGAGAGGGUGACCGGCCACAUUGGGACUGAGGUACGGCCCAGACUCCUACGGGAGGCAGCAGUGGGGAAUAUUGCACAAUGGGCGGAAGCCUGAUGCAGCAACGCCGCGUGCGGGAUGACGGCCUUCGGGUUGUAAACCGCUUUCGCCUGUGACGAAGCGUGAGUGACGGUAAUGGGUAAAGAAGCACCGGCUAACUACGUG
RNAcentral lists this ribosomal RNA (468 nucleotides) under uncultured bacterium. RNAcentral's name for it is "partial 16S ribosomal RNA". It matches the Rfam family "Bacterial small subunit ribosomal RNA", at positions 28 to 507 of the family's 1533-position model. The record is from RNAcentral.